RNAcentral lists this transfer-messenger RNA (406 nucleotides) under Patescibacteria group. Its description in RNAcentral is "JAEUSE01 sp016788805 Standard tmRNA". It matches the Rfam family "transfer-messenger RNA". Rfam says of the family: Bacterial tmRNA, also known as 10Sa RNA or SsrA, is named for its dual tRNA and mRNA-like properties. Its role is to liberate the mRNA from a stalled ribosome. To accomplish this part of the tmRNA is used as a reading frame that ends in a translation stop signal. RNAcentral also lists the same sequence under 1 other name. The record is from RNAcentral.
GGGGAUGACGGAUUUCGACAGUCCUUUGAGAUGUUUGUAAUAUGCAAGACGAGCACGCCUAUUUGGUCUCGCUAAUCCCGUGGGCAUCCAACAAAUGCUAAACAAGCAUCUUGGGAGAAAGUAAAAGCUGCGUUUUCUAACGCAAGCUUCGCUUUCGCUCCAGUAGCUGCUUAAUUUUUUAGGUAGCUACCUAGCCCUUACGCUUUUCCCGUCGUAAGUCCAGCUAGUUUAUUUGGGAAUAUAUGUACGGCGGUUGAUUUACCUGCUGUACAUGAAUUUUGUAAAUCGACUAUUCUGGCUUGUCGUCAGCUACGAUACAGAAUAGUACUACUAGCUGACUAAUCUUGUGAACAAUUACGGCGUCAACAAGCUCUGGACGGGGGUUUAACUCCCCCCAUCUCCACCA